This 465-nucleotide ribosomal RNA is filed under the name uncultured Klebsiella sp. RNAcentral's name for it is "bacterial SSU rRNA". It matches the Rfam family "Bacterial small subunit ribosomal RNA", at positions 338 to 795 of the family's 1533-position model. The record is from RNAcentral. Lineage: Bacteria; Pseudomonadati; Pseudomonadota; Gammaproteobacteria; Enterobacterales; Enterobacteriaceae.
CCUACGGGCGGCUGCAGUGGGGAAUAUUGCACAAUGGGCGCAAGCCUGAUGCAGCCAUGCCGCGUGUGUGAAGAAGGCCUUCGGGUUGUAAAGCACUUGCAGCGGGGAGGAAGGCGGUGAGGUUAAUAACCUCAUCGAUUGACGUUACCCGCAGAAGAAGCACCGGCUAACUCCAUGCCAGCAGCCGCGGUAAUACGGAGGGUGCAAGCGUUAAUCGGAAUUACUGGGCGUAAAGCGCACGCAGGCGGUCUGUCAAGUCGGAUGUGAAAUCCCCGGGCUCAACCUGGGAACUGCAUUCGAAACUGGCAGGCUAGAGUCUUGUAGAGGGGGGUAGAAUUCCAGGUGUAGCGGUGAAAUGCGUAGAGAUCUGGAGGAAUACCGGUGGCGAAGGCGGCCCCCUGGACAAAGACUGACGCUCAGGUGCGAAAGCGUGGGGAGCAAACAGGAUUAGAUACCCCAGUAGUC